This 1137-nucleotide long non-coding RNA is filed under the name Manacus vitellinus (golden-collared manakin). RNAcentral describes it as "lncRNA (ENSMVIG00005015063.1)". The record is from RNAcentral. Lineage: Eukaryota; Metazoa; Chordata; Aves; Passeriformes; Pipridae.
UCUUUUUAACAAGAAUAAAAAAUAAAUUGUGCAACCUCCACCAGGAAGUGAGUGGAUCUUUGAACUCUGCCAUCUGGCUAGUGGAAUCUAUAUUUUCAUCGCCUCGGGUUACAGGUUAAUCCUGCCAGUUUUUAUUAUUUGUAGAAGUAGUUCGCCUCUCGGAAGCUUUUAUGGUCUCUGUCACAGAGAAGAUUGCUGCUGAGCAAAAUACAUGCACAAAAUACUGGGGUCAGUGGAGUGAGGACAUUGAGCAGGGAAGAAAAGAGAGAGGGAAAAAAAAAAAGCUAGUUCUGGCUAAUCUAAAAUUAUCCUUUUUAUUACAAGAGAAGACAUUGCAACAUGUGCUGGCAAAUUUGCCUCGCAUUGCAAGUCAGCACAGACAGGAAGGCUGAGCCUCCCUGCUCAUGGUGGAAGUCAAGCCCGAGCAUGCCCAGCAGCUGGGGAGCCCCACGUGAUGACAACAGCAUCCAGCUCCAUCUGGUGAUGUUCUCCCAGCCCCCCGGGCACUUUUCCAUCUAGUCUUGCAAGCAGCUGGAUCAAUUUACUCUAGCCUACGGUGCGCUGCACAGGCACAGACUGAAAUUAUUACUCAUGGAAAUCCCCUCUGUCUCAGUGCUUUGAACAAGGAAUCAGGUAGCUUUCAAGCUCCUGACAAUUAAUAGCCUUUGGUCGAGGGAGAGCAGUGCAAACACGCUGGAAGCAAUGGGUUUCAAAACAGCUUGCUUAGUUUCUAGUAAAUUAAAGGGAGUGGGCGGUUGAGGUACACGGUAAUAUUAUCCAGCGCAGUGUGGUCUUCACUGACGUCAGCAGGACAUUUUUUUUCCCUCUCUUUCUCUCUCUCUGCCUGUCUCCCAGAAAGAGACACAUGGAGGUUAACUCUGUGACAGAAGCAUGGCUCGUACCACCCGGAGAACCUCCAGUUUUCCAUCAACAAUGCCAGAGCGCAGAUGCUGCUAUGUUGCAAAUGAGCAGCACCAAAUUACAUGCAAGUCAUUUCAGAGGAGAAAAAAGCUGUUGGAAACAGAAAUCAUGAGGACUUACAAGUUGCCUGCUGAGGUCCCUUUGACAACAGUGUCUUUCAGGAUUCAUUUGCACCUUUCAUCAGGACAUUUUGGAGAAAAAAAUGGAAGGAAUUAA